Zingiber officinale is the source of this 111-nucleotide small nucleolar RNA. The record is from RefSeq and is a predicted model, not a curated record. Lineage: Eukaryota; Viridiplantae; Streptophyta; Magnoliopsida; Zingiberales; Zingiberaceae.
AACCCAUGGUGUGGGCAUUGUCUGAGCAUAUUAUUGUAUCUAUCCCAUGCUUCAAAUAAAGAUUCUGAAUCAGAUUAUCUGAAGCUUAUAAUAAGAUUUCUCAUAUGAGCU